Molecule: ribosomal RNA, 137 nt
Filed under: uncultured bacterium
Lineage: Bacteria
Description: partial 16S ribosomal RNA
Rfam family: Bacterial small subunit ribosomal RNA
Source: RNAcentral
UGGGGAAUAUUGGACAAUGGGCGAAAGCCUGAUCCAGCAAUGCCGCGUGUGUGAAGAAGGUCUUCGGAUUGUAAAGCACUUUCGACGGGGACGAUGAUGACGGUACCCGUAGAAGAAGCCCGGCUAACUUCGUGCAG